RNAcentral lists this ribosomal RNA (477 nucleotides) under uncultured organism. RNAcentral describes it as "bacterial SSU rRNA". It matches the Rfam family "Bacterial small subunit ribosomal RNA", at positions 30 to 507 of the family's 1533-position model. The record is from RNAcentral.
AUUGAACGCUGGCGGCAUGCCUUACACAUGCAAGUCGAACGGUAACAGGUUAAGCUGACGAGUGGCGAACGGGUGAGUAAUAUAUCGGAACGUGCCCAGUCGUGGGGGAUAACGUAGCGAAAGCUACGCUAAUACCGCAUACGAUCUACGGAUGAAAGCGGGGGAUCGCAAGACCUCGCGCGAUUGGAGCGGCCGAUAUCAGAUUAGCUAGUUGGUGAGGUAAAGGCUCACCAAGGCGACGAUCUGUAGCUGGUCUGAGAGGACGACCAGCCACACUGGAACUGAGACACGGUCCAGACUCCUACGGGAGGCAGCAGUGGGGAAUUUUGGACAAUGGGCGCAAGCCUGAUCCAGCAAUGCCGCGUGCAGGACGAAGGCCUUCGGGUUGUAAACUGCUUUUGUACGGAGCGAAACGGUCUUCUCUAAUACAGGGGGCUAAUGACGGUACCGUAAGAAUAAGCACCGGCUAACUACGUG